Molecule: long non-coding RNA, 3668 nt
Organism: Bombyx mandarina (wild silkworm)
Lineage: Eukaryota; Metazoa; Arthropoda; Insecta; Lepidoptera; Bombycidae
Source: RefSeq, a predicted model, not a curated record
UUGUAAUGGCAACACAGACUUAGACGCCUAGUGCCCAGCCUAGGUGCCCUGAUUCCGAAUCAAUUUUCUUCAGGACCGGGCGCGAGCUACACUGCUGCUACGUUGCUUCGAAGACCGACGCCUUGAGAAUGUAUAUCAAGCCGUUCGGAGCGUACGUGCGGAAGAAGAGAAGCACUUGAUUAGAUUGAGGCGUCAAAUAACCUCGGCCAGCCAUCGUGGCAUAUCCACGGCCAUCGAACCUGUACUCUUGAGGGCCAGACUGCGAGGAGAUCAAUUUAUCCCUGGGUUCUGUGGAGUUACCUGUCAACGAUGACUUGGUACCAGCGGUUGUCGGCAACCAUCUUGUCAAUGGAGACCCUCGCCGGAUCCUGGCCAGGUUCGGAGCUGUCCCCGAUGUCCAUCACUACAUACGGGUAUCCGUUCUGAAUGCCGAUCACCAUGUAGUCGUCCUAAAAAACGGUAGUGUGAAAUAUUAGAAAUUGUGUUGAAGUGUUGUGAGUGCGUUACAUGUGUGAGUGUGUGUUUUUAUGAUGUGCGCGUGUUACGAAGUGAGUGUGAGUUUGUGUGUUAUAUAGUGCCGGUUAUAUUUAGUGCGUGUACUCAUGAGUGCGUUAUAAGUUUAUUGUAUGCUGUAAUAUGGUACAAAUCAUUGUUAUGUUGUUAAUAGUGUAAGAAUAUUAUGAUUUUAAGACAUACCGAUUUGGUUCUCCUCAGCAUGGUUCCCUUAGGGUUGCCGAGGUACAGAAUGAAGCCAUCCUUUUCCUUUGUUCGGAAGUAUGCCGACACGUGCGUGGAGGUUGACAUCUCAUCGACCGUAUCCGGUAGGCGGGGUUGCAAUGUCGACCACCGAUCAAACGUCACUCCAACUUGAAUGCGAUUAGCUACCGUACGCGCCUGGGGUUAAGAGAGAAGCGUUAAUUUUGUAAUGAAAUUUCUUUUCGAAACUAGUCGGGGUAGGUGGGAAGGGUGAACUUACAAAAAUAAAUAAACAGAAUACAAAACCGCGUAAUCAUAUAUAUAAAUGUCUUAUCAUGAAAAUUACCGUGCAUCAUUAUUACAAAAUACGCGAUUUGUAAAUUAUUAUAGAUAAAAAAAUAUAGAAUGAAUAAAUCAACAAAAAGCUAGUCAAUUAACUUUUGGUCACCGUAUCACAAAUUCCGACUCAACAAAAUUAAUAUGUAAAUAAAAAAUUAUAAGUAAUUUCUAUUCGGUCGCGGUAAAACAAACUAAAUUCAAGAAUACGAUAUUCAUUAUAACUAAAAAAAUGUUACCUGCCUAUUUACUGAACUGAAAAAAAAACACAAGCCUAUUUAAUGAAUUGAAAUGAUUGGGUUAAACAAAUUUCUAAGAAACAGCGGAAGGAGGAAUUCUCUUAAGCAUAUUAGAGUAAAUCUCGUUUUGUCGGUAAAUCCAAUAGGGUCAAAGAAAACAUUUAAAUUGAAAAAAAGUAUGUAUGUGUAAUCACAGCAGAUAAACCAACAAACAAUAAGUGGUCGCGGUAGAGCAAACUAAAUUCGGAAUACGAUAUUCAUUAAAACAAAAAAAAAACACAAGCCUAUUUAUGAAUUGAAAUGAUUGGGUUAAACAAAUUUCUAAGAAACAGAAGAAGGAGGAAUCCUCUUAAGCAUAUUAGAGUAAAUCUCGUUUUGUCGGUAAAUCCAAUAUGGUCAAAGAAAACAUUUAAAUUGAAAAAAGUAUGUAUGUGUAAUCACAGUAGAUAAACCAACAAACAAUAAAUAAGUGGUCGCGGUAGAACAACCUAAAUUCAGAAUAUGUUAUUCCAUAAAGUUACAAAAAAAUGUUACCAGCCUAUUUACUGAAUUGGAAUUAAUGCGUUAAGUAAAUAUUUAAGAAACACGGAAAGGGGUGAUCCCCUUAGGCGUAUUAGAAUAAAUCUCAAUUUAUCGGUCAAUCCAAUAUGGUAAACAUGAAAAUAAAAAUUGAACAAAAAUAUGAUUGUGUAAUCACAGUAGAUAACCCAAUAAACAAUAAGUGGUCGUGGUAGAGCAAACUAAAUUCGUAAUAUGAUAUUCAUUAAAAUAAAAAAAAUGUUACUAGCCUAUUUACUGAAUUUGAAUUAAUUCGUUAAACAAAUAGCUAAGAAACAGAGGAAAGAGGAUCCUCUUAGGCAUAUUAGAAUAAUUCUCAUUUUGUUGGUCAAUCAUGGUCACUUUGAAAAAAUUUAAAAUUAAAAUUUAAAAUUGGUAUAACAAACUAAAUUCAGAAUACGUUAUUAAUUAAAACUAUAAAAAUGUUAUAUGCCUAUUUACUGAAUUGGAUUUAAUGGGUUUAACAAAUUUCUAAAAAACAGAGGAAGAGGGGAUCCUAUUAGGCAUAUUAGAGUAAUUCUCACUUUUUCAGUCAAUGCAAUAGGGUCAUUUUGAAAAAAAAAUAAAAAUAAUAAUAAUUAUGUUUGUGUAAUCACAAGUAGAUAAAUCAAAAAACGAUAAGUGGUCGCGGUGGAACAAACUAAAUUCGGAAUACGAUAUUCAUUAAAACUAAAAUGCUAAAAAUGCUACAUGCCUAUUUACUGAAAUGGAAUUAAUGCGUGAAAUAAAUAUCUAAGAAAUCGAGGAGGACCAUCUUAGUCAUAUUCGAUAAAAAAUAUACGCAACCGCGAUCAUUUUAAAACCUUCGUGAGUACUAAGCGAAACAUAAAUAUGGUCCACGGGCUAGCAAAAAUCCACCCUAAGUUGGCAUACUUCUGGCAUUGGACAAGAGUAAAAAAAAAAAAGAAAAAAAGCAAAUAGUUUUUACGAGACCGAAUAGACUAGCAAACAUUGGCAGAAACUUGUCUAAAACAUUACGUAGGCCUUGGUAAUAAUACCAGACUCUGCACGAGUACCUGUUCGACUAAGUCCUUAAGUUUCUGAAGUUUUUCGUCUGCGUCUCGACGUCGUCUCUCCAAAUCUUCUUGACGCAUCUUCACGGUGUGAUACGAUGACGAGAUUUGCGGCUCCAUGUCAUUGAUGUUUUUAACUGUUACCGAAAAAAAAAAAACAUUAUAUAAAUAAAUGUUCUGUGAGUAAUAUAAUAAUUUGAGUCCGCCAGGGACCACGGUACUCGAUGUAGGCUGGUGCAAAACAAUAAAUUGGAUUUAUGUUAUGUUUGAAAAAAGAAAAAAAAACAGUGAAAUUGUUAUAAAAUGUUAACAAAAAAAAAACAAAAAAGAAAAGAAGAGAAUGUUGUAACAAGAUGUCUUCAAGCAUGUUUGCAUUCGCACAAUAAUCAAAAAUAACAUUUUUUUUAUUUUUUUCUGUGACACUGUAUUUGUAUCGGUCGGGAGGAAGUCCCACCCAGUUGGGUCACGGCCGGCCAAGAAAACAAUUGUCCUUUCUACUGUGCGAGUCGUUGUUGAAGAAGUCACGCUGUUGUCAAACUUACGGUGGCUCUCAACAUUCGAAGUCAUUUUCUGGCCCUCGUCAGCCAGCUUGGGCAGGGUCUGGGCCCAGUCCUUGCUGGUCGCGAGCUCGGGUCCUAGAUGUGACAUGACGCUGAAGGUGGUUCCGAUCGUUGCAUUUACUCUGUCUGCUUUGUUCGUCUCUUCUUCUAAGUUGUAUAGCGUUGUCGUCAUCGUCGGCCCUGCUCAAGUGGUCUCGGAUCUUUCUGAGCACCUCCUCGGUGGCGGUGAGGUUGGGUAGGAGCUUUUGGUCGACGGCGUGUUGGGC